RNAcentral lists this long non-coding RNA (485 nucleotides) under Elaeis guineensis (African oil palm). Its description in RNAcentral is "long non-coding RNA (EGUI_LNC050404)". Lineage: Eukaryota; Viridiplantae; Streptophyta; Magnoliopsida; Arecales; Arecaceae. The record is from RNAcentral.
GCUUUUCCUGCGAUUAAAACCAGCACCAUAUCACCAUAUCACAUCUUCUUUCCAUCCAUUUUCUUAAAUAAAAAAACCCUAGCUUGAAGAGGCAUCUUGCUGGCAACCCAUCGUGAAGGAGAUUGAGCGCCGGUAGCCGUACCCAUCGUGCAGGUGGAUGAUCGCUAGCAGCUGCAACCCUCUUGAAGGUGCUUGCCUAUUGGUGACACCACACCCCUCGUGAGUUUCUCAUCAAGAUUUUUUCCUGAUUUUUUAGUGAUUUCUUUGAUGAAUUCGGUAGGAGCGGAGGUGAAACGCCAUUGGAGAAAGGUUCCUUCAUCCAGCAAAUCCUCUUUCACACCCUUCAUUGGAGGGGAAAGGCUACUGGAUGAUGGGUUUUCAAUGUUUUUUUUUCCUUCUUUUAUUCUUGAUUUCAAUGCUUUGAUUUGGGUUUUGUAAAUUUUGAUGUUUUCUUUUCUUCUUCUAUUGUCAAUUUUUAUGCACGG